CAUGGUUGUCGUCAGCUCGUGUCGUGAGAUGUUCGGUUAAGUCCGCUACGAGCGCAACCCUCGCUGUGUGUUAUAUGUGUCACACGGGACUGCCGGUCUUAAGCCGGAGGAAGGUGGGGAUGAUGUCAAGUCAGCAUGGCCUUUAUAUCCUGGGCUACACACACGCUACAAUGGCCAACACAAUAGGUUGCUAAGCCGCGAGGUGGCGCCAAUCCAUAAAGUUGGUCUCAGUUCAGAUUGUAGGCUGCAACCCGCCUGCAUGAAGAUGGAGUUGCUAGUAACCGCAGGUCAGCUAUACUGCGGUGAAUACGUUCCCGGGGCUU
RNAcentral lists this ribosomal RNA (323 nucleotides) under uncultured Leptolinea sp. Its description in RNAcentral is "bacterial SSU rRNA". It matches the Rfam family "Bacterial small subunit ribosomal RNA", at positions 1044 to 1382 of the family's 1533-position model. The record is from RNAcentral. Lineage: Bacteria; Bacillati; Chloroflexota; Anaerolineae; Anaerolineales; Anaerolineaceae.